This 88-nucleotide non-coding RNA is filed under the name Skeletonema marinoi. The record is from RNAcentral. Lineage: Eukaryota; Bacillariophyta; Thalassiosirophyceae; Thalassiosirales; Thalassiosiraceae.
GGUGCGAGCGCUUUAGGAGCUGCUUUGGCUAUGUUCUAAGUUUGAGUGGCAGAAAUAAGAGUGAGAAGAAGGAGAGCUCUAAGUUAUU